Molecule: ribosomal RNA, 505 nt
Filed under: uncultured bacterium
Lineage: Bacteria
Description: partial 16S ribosomal RNA
Rfam family: Bacterial small subunit ribosomal RNA
Source: RNAcentral
GACGAACGCUGGCGGCGUGCCUAAUACAUGCAAGUAGGACGCACAGUCUAUACCGUAGCUUGCUACACCAUAGGCUGUGAGUUGCGAACGGGUGAGUAACGCGUAGGUAACCUGCCUAUUAGAGGGGGAUAACUAUUGGAAACGAUAGCUAAUACCGCAUAACAGUAUGUAACACAUGUUAGAUGCUUGAAAGAUGCAAUUGCAUCGCUAGUAGAUGGACCUGCGUUGUAUUAGCUAGUAGGUAGGGUAAUGGCCUACCUAGGCGACGAUACAUAGCCGACCUGAGAGGGUGAUCGGCCACACUGGGACUGAGACACGGCCCAGACUCCUACGGGAGGCAGCAGUAGGGAAUCUUCGGCAAUAGGGGGAACCCUGACCGAGCAACGCCGCGUGAGUGAAGAAGGUUUUCGGAUCGUAAAGCUCUGUUGUUAAGGAAGAACGAGUGUGAGAAUGGAAAGUUCAUACUGUGACGGUACUUAACCAGAAAGGGACGGCUAACUACGUG